This 104-nucleotide small nuclear RNA is filed under the name Octodon degus (degu). The record is from RNAcentral. Lineage: Eukaryota; Metazoa; Chordata; Mammalia; Rodentia; Octodontidae.
UUGUUCACUUUGGCAGCACAUAUACUAAAAUUGGAACCACACAGAGAUUAGCAUGGCUCCUGCACAAGGAUGACACAUAAAUUUGUGAAACAUUCCAUAUUUAA